UGGGGAAUUUUGGACAAUGGGCGAAAGCCUGAUCCAGCAAUGCCGCGUGUGUGAAGAAGGCCUUCGGGUUGUAAAGCACUUUUGUCCGGAAAGAAAUCCUCUGGGUUAAUACCUCGGGGGGAUGACGGUACCGGAAGAAUAAGCACCGGCUAACUACGUGCCAGCAGCCGCGGUAAUACGUAGGGUGCAAGCGUUAAUCGGAAUUACUGGGCGUAAAGCGUGCGCAGGCGGUUUUGUAAGACGGAUGUGAAAUCCCCGGGCUUAACCUGGGAACUGCAUUCGUGACUGCAAGGCUAGAGUAUGGCAGAGGGGGGUAGAAUUCCACGUGUAGCAGUGAAAUGCGUAGAGAUGUGGAGGAAUACCGAUGGCGAAGGCAGCCCCCUGGGCCAAUACUGACGCUCAUGCACGAAAGCGUGGGGAGCAAAACAGGAUUAGAUACCCUGGGUAGUCCACGCCCUAAAACGAUGUCAACUAGUUGUUGGGGAUUCAUUUCCUUAGUAACGUAGCUAACGCGUGAAGUUGACCGCCUGGGGGAGUACGGUCGCAAGAUUAAAACUCAAAUGAA
Molecule: ribosomal RNA, 565 nt
Filed under: uncultured bacterium
Lineage: Bacteria
Description: partial 16S ribosomal RNA
Rfam family: Bacterial small subunit ribosomal RNA
Source: RNAcentral